Megalopta genalis is the source of this 1976-nucleotide long non-coding RNA. RefSeq lists it as uncharacterized. The record is from RefSeq and is a predicted model, not a curated record. Lineage: Eukaryota; Metazoa; Arthropoda; Insecta; Hymenoptera; Halictidae.
CACGGUUCACUUGUUCGCACACGUGUCAAUGCCGAAUGCGUGCCCAGAGGCCACAAAUUGUAGAUCCACGUGACAGUUUGCGGCGUGUGUUUCUCUGCGUAAUCGUCGCGUCCGGGCCGCGCGUCGAUUGUCGACACGAUGAAUUUCGAAAAGUUGUGCUAACAGAGAUCGACCGACCUUACGAACACCUCGCGUGUCAUUCGAGCCAAAAGCCGCGUUCUUACCGACAAUGAGGCAACGAGUUUCAUUUCAGCUGGUAGAAAAUCUAAGGAACAUUUCGUUCGUGUUAAAAUGGCAAUUCUCAGAAAAAGGUAUGCUCCUUGAACGUGCAGCAUGUAUCACCAGACUUCAUGCGUUUAUGACAAAGAUAAAUAGAUCGAAUUCAAAAGAAUAGAAUGUUUGUUUCGAUGGCAAUGGAUAAUACACUGCAAGAACAGAAACAAUAAACAUCAGACAUUCCUACUAACGAAUGGAAUUAUCGUCGGAAGAAUGAAAUACACAAUAUUGUGACAGUGUUUACAAAUAGUUGACAACAUCUGGUUCGCGGCAUACCGCCGCGUAAAUAGUAAACGAUGCUUGAUGAUAAUUACAAAUGGACGUGUGCAUACGCGACGUAUCCACUUUACGUCGAAAUAAAGAAAAUCAUGGGGUACGUAAAGAAUGUAACGGAACUGUUGUUUUCCCGCAAUUCAACACUAAAAUGUUAUUAUCUAGAAUUACGUACUUCAGGCUUAUUAUUCUCGGUGUAUUAAAUUCACACAACGAGCAAUGAACCAUUUCUUUAUCAGAAGGGUUCACAUUUAUAGUAUUCAGAUGAUUUUUCGUUUGUUAAUUUACAGCAUUUUUAUGUGGAUUUAAAAGGAAGCAUAUAUUUGCCACAGUCGAUCGUAUAAACAAUCCUUUUCUAGUGAAUCAGAGUGCUAAUUAAUACCAUGCACAGCAAAAAUUAUACAUCAAUCGUUUCGAACCAUAAAAUAUACUCUGCAUGCGAUACAUAUUAUUGUAUAUACACAUAUUGAAGAUGCCAGAAUGAUGUUAAUACUUUAAUAAAAAAAAAGAAGCAAUUGUUUGACAUUACAAAACAUGUCAUAAAAAACAUUUCAUAUUCCUGGAAUAUUCUGAUACUAACUAAUCUGAUAUCAUCCGUGUAAUGCUAAUUACAACGAUUAUAUGAAUUAUCACUUAUCUGAAAAUUGCGUUAAUAAAUACUAAUAAAUGCAACAUUAUUGCUUAGCACAAUUUCAGUAGUCACAAUUUGACUAAGAGAUUUAUUUGAUUUGACGACAGCUACGAUAAUAAAUGAAAUGAUAAAAAAAAUAAGAAUUGCUGACAUACUUUCAAUUGAAGCAAUGUAAAAUGUUGAAUUAAAAUGUAAUCAGUUUCUGGCUGAGUCUACGUUAGUUUAAAAUUCGUAAUCGUGUAAAUCAAACGACACUUUGUUAAUAUUCAAGUUCAUACAUCCGAUAUGUUAAUCAAUCAAACACGCUUCCUUUAUUAUUACCGUUACGCUCGAAUUAAUAUUGUAUAAUCCCCGUUAUUUUCACAGUGAAUUACAUCAAUGUUUGAUUGGAGUGGUGCACGUGUCGCCAUUUAAUCAGUAAUAGAAUUAUCAGUCAAUCUUUAUAUCAAGUGUAUCGAGGAAGUCGUUAUUAAUAAGCGAUAAUCAAAAUGUCAAUCACCCGUGAUAGGAUCGGUAUUAAUCAGAAAUGCGCCAACAUUCCUGUUAUGAUAAUAACUAUAUCAGUGUCAUUGGUACGGUAUAGUGAUCAAAAUCAUAGUAGCAGCAGCAGCAGUUUAAAUUACUAUGUCAGUAACCGUCGUGAAGAACACAGAGCAGGUGCUUUUGCUAAGUAUUUUCUUAAUUUUAUAUAACAAAUUCACUGAAGUUACCGAGCUGAUUUUAUACGAAAAAUUCAUCUCACGUUAUAACUUGUUGUUUGUAUAAGAAAUUAAUAUAAUAUAAUUUGUUCAUUGUA